This is a long non-coding RNA of Balaenoptera ricei (Rice's whale), 2911 nucleotides long. RefSeq lists it as uncharacterized. The record is from RefSeq and is a predicted model, not a curated record. NCBI's taxonomy places the organism in Eukaryota, Metazoa, Chordata, Mammalia, Artiodactyla, Balaenopteridae. The transcript is spliced from 3 exons.
CAGAAUCCAAUGUGAAGCAGAGGAAAGCUGUCACACAACCCUCCAGCAUGAGAUAAACAUCAUCAAAAGCAAUGCCAGAUAUGAAAGAACACCCUGAAUCAGAGCUCAAAGACUCAGCACAAAAGUGAACGUCUUAAGAAAGAUGAGAGACUGUUCUCCCUGGAAAGAGGACUGAAAGGACGUUAGUGUGUAAGAGGUCUUAGGGCCUGUUCCUGGGAUAAAAACGCGUGGAAGGGAACAGAGCAGGAUCAAAGAGAGGGAAGAGUCCAGCUGUAAUGCAGUCAUCUCUGCAGACCUGAAGAUGGAUGACCCAACCGAGCGGUCCCCAAAGGGGUCGAGAGUUCCAGGCCUUCACACCCUCUGUCACUGGGACCGGCUGCCCUGGAGUGGGGUGACCUUGGGUGAGGAAGCUUUCAGCAGUUGUGCUAAUCCCUAAAGGUGCUGACGGCUGAGGAUGGACUCCCAGCACUUGGGGUAACCAACCGCUUCUGGAGGGUUGAGACCGGAAUUAGUGAGUACACGGCAAAGCAGGUCACACUCAGUGGCAUUCAAGAGGUUAAGUGAUCCCAGAAAGUUCCGGAGAGGAAGUGGGUACAUAGAGUAGGAGUGGUCGGGGAAGACUUUGGGAUGUGGAAGGCGUUGGAGGUGGACCUCAAAGAGUGAAACACGCUGCAACGAAGGCUGAAAGGUUUCCAGGCUGAAAGCUGCAUUACCAGUGGGCUCUUAGUACCUGAUCAUGGAUGAGGACCUAAGAAAUCCUUUAAGAGGUGGACAGUCCAUGCGUUUAGUGUGACUUUAAUGUCAUAGCCACUGAGGUGGAGGCGAAUUUCUCUGUUCUUUUAAAUCUAUCGCUAGUAAAAUUUUUUUAAAAAAUCAUCUGUCUCCAUACCAAAUGGUAUCUUAUAUCGGAGUCCAUCUCUUCAUUUUUCAUGAAGGAUAAAAACACUGUCCUAAGUGUGCAAAACAGCACAAGCUUCUGUGGAAUUUAGAUUUACUAAAAUAUGAGUAAACAAAACUAUACUGUGUAUGGAAACAUACGCCCCCAUGGCAGGGCACUCGCCCUGCAUUAGACCCACAAGAAGAAAAGGAUCUCUCUCCCCCUUGUGAAUCUAUGCUCCUCCCAUGCGGAGCUGAGCCUCAGGCAGCAGUCAGAGGGCAGGGACUCCCCAUCACUACUUGCAAUGCUCAGAAAAGCAAACUCGCGGUCGUCUCCAGCUCUCCUCCCAUCAGCCUACUCCUGCCUCUAUUGCGCAGGCAAGUCACACCUUUUGAUCAUCCAUCUCUGCAGGGCAAUUGCUCUCAUGCUGUAGCCUCACCACGUGGGCACUUAGACUCCCUGGCAUUCUACUGUGGUGAUUGCGGUGCUGCAUUCUACUGUGGUGAUUCCUGUGCUGUUCUCCAAUCAUUUCUUUUGUACACUGUUGUCUUCCUGAACAGAUUCUUAAGUUCCUUUAUGGACAAAAUACCUCUUUGAAUCUCCCACGGCACCACUGCAGUGCCAUGCCUUACCAGGUUUGGAAGAAAUGCCUGCUGAUUUUGAUUGACUGGGCACCUCCUGCAAAUAGAACAUUACCAGGCAUUGCCAUAGGUAGGCACAAUACAAUGGCACAUUUAAGAUGCCCGGGUGCAAUUAAGAUGAAGACUCAUGUCACUACGCCCUACACACUUGGUGGUCGCUACCACUUUUUAGUUGCCACUUUCUCCUCAGGGCUUAAGCCCACCCUGAAAAUGAUUGGGAAAGACAUUCAGGCUGUGAUGCUGCCCUGAGGUGAGCUGGCAAGUAAGAGGAUUUUCGUAGGAGCAAAUGUGUGUUCUAAAGAGAACUUUCCUUUCAUCUUGUUUUCGGUUUCCUUUGCUGUGCAAAAGCUUUUAAGUUUCAUUAGGUCCCAUUUGGGUAUUUUUGUUUUUAUUUCCAUUUCUCUAGGAAGUGGGUCAAAAAGGAUCUUGCUGUGAUUUAUGUCAUAGAGUGUUCUGCCUAUGUUUUCUAUUUGCAAAUGAAGCAACUGACAAAGGAUCAAUCUCCAAAAUUUACAAGCAGCUCAUGCAGCUCAAUAUCAGAAAAACAAACAACCCAAUCCAAAAAUGGGCAGAAGACCUAAAUAGACAUUUCUCCAAAGAAGAUAUACAGAUUGCCAACAAACACAUGAAAGGAUGCUCAACAUCACUAAUCAUUAGAGAAAUGCAAAUCAAAAGUACAAUGAGGUAUCACCUCACACGUGUCAGAAUGGCCAUCAUCAAAAAAUCUGCAAACAGUAAAUGCUGGAGAGGGUGUGGAGAACAGGGAACCCUCUUGCACUCUUGGUGGGAAUGGAAAUUGAUACAGCCACUAUGGAGAACAGUAUGGAGGUUCCUCAAAAAACUAAAAAUUGAACUACCAUACGACCCAGCAAUCCCACUACUGGGCAUAUACCCUGAGAAAACCAUAAUUCAAAAAGAGUCAUGUACCACAAUGUUCAUUGCAGCUCUAUUUACAAUAGCUAGGACAUGGAAGCAACCUAAGUGUCCAUCGACAGAUGAAUGGAUAAAGAAGAUGUGGCCCAUAUACACAAUGGAAUAUUACUCAGCCAGAAAAAGAAACAAAAUUGAGUUAUUUGUAGUGAGCUGGAUGGACCUAGAGUCUGUCAUACAGAGUGAAGUAAGUCAGAAAGAGAAAAACAAAUAUAGUAUGCUAACACAUAUAUAUGGAAUCUAAAAAAAAAAAAAAAAGUUCUGAAGAACCUAGGGGCAGGACAGGAAUAAAGACACAGACGUAGAGAAUGGACUUGAGGACACAGGGAGGGGGAAGGGUAAGCUGGGACUAAGUGAGAGAGUGGCAUGGACUUAUAUAUACUACCAAAUGUAAAAUAGAUAGCUAGUGGGAAGCAGCCGCAUAGCACAGGGAGAUCAGCUAGGUGCUUUGUGACCACCUAGA